This 75-nucleotide transfer RNA is filed under the name Acidobacteriota bacterium. RNAcentral's name for it is "tRNA-His". It matches the Rfam family "tRNA". From Rfam's summary of the family: Transfer RNA (tRNA) molecules are approximately 80 nucleotides in length. Their secondary structure includes four short double-helical elements and three loops (D, anti-codon, and T loops). Lineage: Bacteria; Pseudomonadati; Acidobacteriota. The record is from RNAcentral.
GUGAGUGUAGCUCAGGGGUAGAGCGCCGGACUGUGGCUCCGGUGGUCGCGGGUUCAAAUCCCGUCACUCACCCCA